Molecule: transfer RNA, 69 nt
Filed under: Epinephelus quoyans (longfin grouper)
Lineage: Eukaryota; Metazoa; Chordata; Actinopteri; Perciformes; Serranidae
Description: tRNA-Met
Source: RNAcentral
AGUUAAGUCAGCUAAACAAGCUUUUGGGCCCAUACCCCAAGCAUGUAGGUUAGAUCCCUACCUUCACUA